CCCUUAGAUGUUCUGGGCCGCACGCGUGCUACACUGAGUGGAUCAGCGGGUCAGGUUGCGCGAAAGUGUUUCCUAAUCUUGAAAUCCGCUCGUGAUGGGGAUUGACGGUUGCAAUUUUCCGUCAUGAACGAGGAAUACCUUGUAAGCGCGGGUCAUCAUCCCGCGCUGAAUACGUCCCUGCCCUUGGUACACACCGCCCGUCGCUCCUACCGAUUGAGUGGUCCGGUGAGGCUUUGGGAUCUGAGCGGAAAGAGCGUUUCGCUGUUUCUGCUCGGAAAACUCAGUCGAACCUUAUCAUUUAGAGGAAGGAGAAGUCGUAACA
Molecule: ribosomal RNA, 322 nt
Filed under: uncultured eukaryote
Lineage: Eukaryota
Description: partial 18S ribosomal RNA
Rfam family: Eukaryotic small subunit ribosomal RNA
Source: RNAcentral